This 424-nucleotide ribosomal RNA is filed under the name Gelanor sp. GH1552. RNAcentral describes it as "partial 16S ribosomal RNA". It matches the Rfam family "Bacterial large subunit ribosomal RNA", at positions 1846 to 2600 of the family's 2925-position model. The record is from RNAcentral. Lineage: Eukaryota; Metazoa; Arthropoda; Arachnida; Araneae; Mimetidae.
UUUUAAGUAAAAUCUGCUCCAUGACUUUAAAUAGCCGCAGUAUUUCUGUGCUAAGGUAGCAUAAUCAUUUGCCUUUUAAUUAAAGGCUAGAAUGAAUGAUUUAACAUUUUAAUUUCUAUCUUAAACUUUAAUGUAAAAAUUAUAUUAAAUAUAAAAAUAUAUUUAUAACAAAAAUAGACGACAAGACCCUAUUGAACUUUACUUCAGUUUAGCUGGGGCAGCUGAAUAAUAAAUAUUUUAUUGACAAUUAGUACAAAAAUGACCCAAUAUAAUUGACUUUGUGAUCAAGUUACCAUAGGGAUAACAGCAUAAUUUACUUUUUUACUCUUAUUAAAAAGAAAGAUUAUGACCUCGAUGUUGAAUUAUUCUCCUUACUAACGCAAGAGUUAAUUGAGGGGGUCUGUUCGACCCUUAAAUUUUUACA